CUAUGAAGCAUUAUGGAGCAUUAUAACAGGGGAGGACUCAUUCUCUUCUGUGACUACGUGGUGAGACUAUCGGUUCAUAUGAAGCAUUAUAACAGGGGAGGACUCAUUCUCAUCUGUGACUACGUGGUGAGACUGUAGGUUCAUAUGAAGCAUUAUAACAGGGGAGGACUCAUUCUCUUCUGUGACUACGUGGUGAGACUGUAGGUUCAUAUGAAGCAUUAUAACAGGGGAGGACUCAUUCUCUUCUGUGACUACGUGGUGAGACUAUAGGUCCCUAUGAAGCAUUAUAACAGGGGAGGACUCAUUCUCAUCUGUGACUACGUGGUGAGACUAUCGGUUCAUAUGAAGCAUUAUAACAGGGGAGGACUCAUUCUCAUCUGUGACUACGUGGUGAGACUGUAGGUUCAUAUGAAGCAUUAUAACAGGGGAGGACUCAUUCUCUUCUGUGACUACGUGGUGAGACUAUAGGUCCCUAUGAAGCAUUAUAACAGGGGAGGACUCAUUCUCU
Long non-coding RNA from Oncorhynchus tshawytscha (Chinook salmon), 508 nucleotides. NCBI's taxonomy places the organism in Eukaryota, Metazoa, Chordata, Actinopteri, Salmoniformes, Salmonidae. The record is from Ensembl.